This 157-nucleotide non-coding RNA is filed under the name bovine gut metagenome. Its description in RNAcentral is "Lysine riboswitch". It matches the Rfam family "Lysine riboswitch aptamer". Rfam says of the family: Riboswitches are metabolite binding domains within certain messenger RNAs that serve as precision sensors for their corresponding targets. Allosteric rearrangement of mRNA structure is mediated by ligand binding, and this results in modulation of gene expression. The record is from RNAcentral.
AUUAGAGGCGCGGUUGGCAAAGAGUACUUAUGACUAUAGUUCGCACGGGACGUCAUAAUGAAAGGUGUCGCCGCCGAAAGGACCGUUCGUGCAAGCGGUCGCUUGGUUUUGCGGAAUAAUAUCCGCACGACUGUCGCAAAAGCGGAGUGCUAUCUUG